This 429-nucleotide ribosomal RNA is filed under the name Diaphanosoma sp. DJT-2002. Its description in RNAcentral is "bacterial SSU rRNA". It matches the Rfam family "Eukaryotic small subunit ribosomal RNA", at positions 1255 to 1548 of the family's 1831-position model. The record is from RNAcentral. Lineage: Eukaryota; Metazoa; Arthropoda; Branchiopoda; Diplostraca; Sididae.
CUCUUUCUUGAUUCGGUGGGUGGUGGUGCAUGGCCGUUCUUAGUUGGUGGAGCGAUUUGUCUGGUUAAUUCCGAUAACGAACGAGACUCUAGCCUGCUAAAUAGGUGGCUGGUUUUUUGAAAUCGCAAGAUUUUUGGGUUCGCAGUCUCUUUGGAUCAGGGUGGCGGGGUUUGGUUCGCGGCGGCGGGCGUCACGUUGCGUGCCUCGGUGCGUGGCGGGGCGUUCGUCGUCCGGGCCGGCACCGUCACCCCCGAAGAGCCAGCUGCGUUCUCGCGUCAGUCACGACUCUUCUUAGAGGGACAAGCGGCGUUUAGCCGCGUGACAGUGAGCAAUAACAGGUCUGUGAUGCCCUUAGAUGUCCUGGGCCGCACGCGCGCUACACUGAAGGAAUCAGCGUGUUUUUCUCCCCCUGUCCGAGAGGACCGGGUA